UGGUGCCCUGGCGGCCAUCGCUGGAGGCCGCGGUUGCUAUGGGAGACCUGGCGCCCGGCCUGGGAGCGACAGGAAGGCGAGCUGUGGCCGCGACGCCUUCCGAGAAAGCAGGUCGCUCUCGGAACGGACGUUUGUGUGUGGUUUCUGUGGAAGAUCCGCUCCGCGGCGGCGUGGGAGGAGCAGGGCCUGGAGGGGUUGCGGCCAAACGCGGGCUUCGGUGUUGGGACACGGACAACGCUGGCGUCCGGGCGCUGCUGGGCAGCGGGGUCCGGGGAUGACGUCUGGGGCUGCCCGUGCCCACUUUUCCAGAUUGCUCUGAAUGUCCUAGUGAGCUGCUCCCGUUGGGAAAAUAGGGACUCAAGGCCGGUGCGGUGGCUCACCCCUCUAAUCCCAGCACUUUGGGGGACAGAGACCGGAAGAGCGAUUAAGCCCAGGAGUUCGAGACCAGCCUGGGCAACAAAGUGAGAUCCCCGUCUCUACAAAAAUAAAAAUUAAAAAAGUAGCCGGGCGUGGUGGCGCGCACCUGCAGUUCCAGCUACUCAGGAAGCUGAGGCGGAGGAGUGCUUGAGCCCAGGAGGUGCAGGCUGCAGUGAUCUCUGAUCACACCACUGCACUCCAACCUGGUCUGCAGCAAGACCCUGUCUCAAAAAAGAAAAAGUAAAUACUUCAACCUUGCAAGGGUUUUGAGCAUUCUUAUGGGCUGUUUUUCUACCCAAUCUUUCCUCCCAUAGCCCAAAUUGUCAUAAUAUUCAAUAAUGAUGAUCCCAGAACUUUGGGAGGCUAAGGUGGGAGGAUCCCUCAAGCCGAGGAGUUUGAGACCAGCCUGGGCAACAUGGUGAGACCCCAUCUCUACAAAAAAAAUUUUUUAAAUUAUCCAGUUGUGGUGGUACGCGACAGUAGUCCCAGUUACUCGGGAGGCUGAGGCAGGAG
Molecule: long non-coding RNA, 930 nt
Filed under: Homo sapiens (human)
Lineage: Eukaryota; Metazoa; Chordata; Mammalia; Primates; Hominidae
Description: non-protein coding lnc-LAT2-1:2
Source: RNAcentral